RNAcentral lists this ribosomal RNA (253 nucleotides) under uncultured bacterium. RNAcentral's name for it is "partial 16S ribosomal RNA". It matches the Rfam family "Bacterial small subunit ribosomal RNA", at positions 524 to 776 of the family's 1533-position model. The record is from RNAcentral.
UACGGAGGGUGCAAGCGUUAUCCGGAUUCACUGGGUUUAAAGGGUGCGUAGGCGGGCAGGUAAGUCCGUGGUGAAAUCCCCGAGCUUAACUCGGGAACUGCCAUGGAUACUAUUUGUCUUGAAUAUUGUGGAGGUAAGCGGAAUAUGUCAUGUAGCGGUGAAAUGCUUAGAUAUGACAUAGAACACCAAUUGCGAAGGCAGCUUGCUACAGGGAUAUUGACACUGAGGCACGAAAGCGUGGGGAUCAAACAGG